RNAcentral lists this ribosomal RNA (383 nucleotides) under uncultured eukaryote. RNAcentral describes it as "partial 18S ribosomal RNA". It matches the Rfam family "Eukaryotic small subunit ribosomal RNA", at positions 592 to 976 of the family's 1831-position model. The record is from RNAcentral.
CCAUAGCGUAUAUUAAAGUUGUUGCAGUUAAAAAGCUCGUAGUUGGAUUUCUGGUGGGAGCGAUCGGUCUGGCGCUUAGCGCGAGUACUUGCAUCGUCUCCGGCCAUCCUUGGGGAGAGUCUGUCUGGCAUUAAGUUGUCGGGCAGAGGAUCCUCAUCGUUUACUGUGAAAAAAUUAGAGUGUUCAGAGCAGGCUUAUGCCGUUGAAUAUAUUAGCAUGGAAUAAUAAGAUAGGACUUUGGUACUAUUUUGUUGGUUUGCGCACCAAAGUAAUGAUUAAUAGGGACAGUUGGGGGUAUUCGUAUUCCGUUGUCAGAGGUGAAAUUCUUGGAUUUACGGAAGACGAACUACUGCGAAAGCAUUUACCAAGGAUGUUUUCAUUAA